This 375-nucleotide ribosomal RNA is filed under the name uncultured bacterium. RNAcentral's name for it is "bacterial SSU rRNA". It matches the Rfam family "Bacterial small subunit ribosomal RNA", at positions 524 to 898 of the family's 1533-position model. The record is from RNAcentral.
UACGUAGGGAGCAAGCGUUGUCCGGAUUUACUGGGUGUAAAGGGUGCGUAGGCGGCACUGCAAGUCAGGCGUGAAAGCCGGAGGCUUAACCUCCGAACUGCGUUUGAAACUGUGGUGCUUGAGUGAAGUAGAGGUAGGCGGAAUUCCCGGUGUAGCGGUGAAAUGCGUAGAGAUCGGGAGGAACACCAGUGGCGAAGGCGGCCUACUGGGCUUUAACUGACGCUGAGGCACGAAAGCAUGGGUAGCAAACAGGAUUAGAUACCCUGGUAGUCCAUGCCGUAAACGAUGAUUACUAGGUGUGGGGGGUCUGACCCCUUCCGUGCCGGAGUUAACACAAUAAGUAAUCCACCUGGGGAGUACGGCCGCAAGGUUGAA